CGGGAAAUGUGGCGUUUUGGAGUGAGCGUGCCGGGUUCGCGCUGGACGGCAAGUCCCCCUGACCGGGGCCUAUCCAUAGCGGGUGCGAGACCCAUAGCCGUCCGGUGCGUCUCGGAUGCGAUCUCCUUGGAGUCGGGUUGCUUGGGAGUGCAGCCCUAAUCGGGUGGUAAACUCCACCUAAGGCUAAAUACCGCCGUGAGACCGAUAGCAAACAAGUACCGUGAGGGAAAGUUGCAAAGAACUUUGAAGAGAGAGUUCAAGAGUACGUGAAACUGCUCAGAGGCAAACGGGUGGGCCCUCGAAAUCCUGUGGCGAGAGGAUUCAGUCUGGCGUGUCGUUCGAGCCUGGCCGGAAUACCGAAUAAGGAUUCCCGGGACCGGGGCCGUCCGGCCGCUCGCACAGACGACGUAGACCAGACGCAUUUGGCUCUCGCCCGAAGGACGCUGCAGCCGGCGGGGCAGUGCAAGCGCGACGGCCUGAAGGUCGGGAGACGGCAGGUGGCCGUUGGCGUGCCUCGUGUGCGUCGACGGUUGUUAGCCAUCCCGUCAGUGGCCCGUCGCCCCGCCGUGGUGUCACAAGGCCCUCGAYGGGCUUCUCCGCCUCCUUUAAAACCGAAGCGAGUGGGCAACCGCUGGCGCUCGGCCGCGGACAAGUCGCACUCCCUCAGGGUGGACGGUCUGCGCGUCGGCGCCGCAGGCGGAGGCCGCGGACUCGUAGGAGCGCCGGAGGCUGGCAGCGAGUAGGUCGGUCACCCACCCGACCCGUCUUGAAACACGGACCAAGGAGUCUAACAUGUGCGCGAGUCAAUGGGUCUUGAACAGGCCCAGGGGCGCAAUGAAAGCAAAGGCCGGCUCUUGCGCCGGCCGAGUCGGGAUCCCUCGCYYUCGGGCGGGGGCGCACCGACGACCCGUCCCGUCCGGCUCGCCGGUGGGGCGGAGUUUGA
RNAcentral lists this ribosomal RNA (943 nucleotides) under Taraxella sp. UBC SEM W.Maddison d248. RNAcentral's name for it is "eukaryotic LSU rRNA". It matches the Rfam family "Eukaryotic large subunit ribosomal RNA", at positions 137 to 799 of the family's 3401-position model. The record is from RNAcentral. Lineage: Eukaryota; Metazoa; Arthropoda; Arachnida; Araneae; Salticidae.